AACGAACGCUGGCGGCAUGCCUAACACAUGCAAGUCGAACGAGACCUUCGGGUCUAGUGGCGCACGGGUGCGUAACGCGUGGGAAUCUGCCCUUGGGUUCGGAAUAACAGUUAGAAAUGACUGCUAAUACCGGAUAAUGUCUUCGGACCAAAGAUUUAUCGCCCAGGGAUGAGCCCGCGUAGGAUUAGCUAGUUGGUGAGGUAAAGGCUCACCAAGGCGACGAUCCUUAGCUGGUCUGAGAGGAUGAUCAGCCACACUGGGACUGAGACACGG
Molecule: ribosomal RNA, 273 nt
Filed under: uncultured bacterium
Lineage: Bacteria
Description: partial 16S ribosomal RNA
Rfam family: Bacterial small subunit ribosomal RNA
Source: RNAcentral